Molecule: long non-coding RNA, 9330 nt
Organism: Hemicordylus capensis (graceful crag lizard)
Lineage: Eukaryota; Metazoa; Chordata; Lepidosauria; Squamata; Cordylidae
Exons: 2
Source: RefSeq, a predicted model, not a curated record
CCCCCGCCCCGGGCAGGGGGGGCCGAGGAGGAGAUGGGCGGGCGGCGGCGGGUGCCCGUCGGCGGAAGAGCGCCCUGAAGGGGCCCAGGCAGGCCAGCCGGAGGGAGGGUGGUUGUGAGGAGGAGACCCCGCGCCGAGUCUGGCCCGCUCGCGACGAGGAAGAGCAGGAGCCCCGUCAUGUUGGAGCACCAAAGAAACCGAGGCGGCGGCGGCGGCGGCGGCCCGGAAGAGAGUCUAUGCAAGCGCAGCGGGCAGACGGCCAGGGCCGGGCGAGGCCGCGAGGGGGGCAUCAUCCGAUGUGGGCAGUGACCAAGACACGCCGGGAGAGCGGCCGCCGCAGACCCCGCUCGGAAGGAGAUGCCUGUCCAUGUGGAGAUGCUCCAUAGAAGCGGGGGCGGGGGCGCAUCUCGCCUUACCGGAGGGAGCCGCCGGCUGCUGCCCUCCCGCGCCUGCCUGAGCUCGUUGGCAGCCGGCUGGUGGCUUGGCGGGCGGCCUGCCUGCCUGCCUCCUCUCUGGGCCCGCCCGGCGGCUGAAUGGCAAGUCGGGUCGGCGUGGGGGCGCACAGCCCGGCGGGGCCCUGAGCGGCGGGGCGGGGGCAGGCAGGGACUGGGGGCUUGUUCCGCGCCAGGUCGCUUGGGGGCUGCCGCGCUUCUCAGCAGCAGCCGACUGGGGGUGAGGAGCAGCCUAAGCCAUAGGGCAGAGAAGGGGCACGCCUGCGGGCAGCGUGAUGGGGAGACCCGGGGAGGACGCUCAGAGCCCGCUGGACUUUGGUGACUCUCCACGGGGAGGGAGCUCUAGGCGUGGGGGGCUGCUGGUGGUGAGGGCCCCUCGGGGAAGCUCUCUGGACGGACACGAGACAUGCAGAGCCUUCCAUUUGCACCACAACAUAAGUUUGGUGCACUUUUGGGGCGGAGUGAGUGUGUGUGUGUGGUGGGAACAUAGGAAGCUGCCAUAUACCGAGUCAGACCAUUGGCCUACUCUAUCUAGCUCAGUAUUGUCUACCCAGAUUGGCAGCGUCUUCUCCAAGGUGGCAGGCAGGGAUCUCUCUCGGCCCUGUCUUGGAGAGGCUGCCAGGGAGGGGACUGGGAACCUCCUAGAUGCUCUUCCCAGAGCAACUCCAUCCCCUGAGGGGAAUAUCUCCCAGUGCGGCUCACACUUCUAGUCUCCCAUUCAUUUGUAACCAGGGCAGACCCGGCUUAGCUAAGGGGACAAGGCAUGCUUGCUGCCACAAGACCCCCUGUCCUCUCAGGGGGACAGAUGUCUGUUCUGGUCCUGAUCUGAAUCUGUCUCCGAUACUGGAGAGCCAAACCCAGUCCCAAACAUAGAAGCUCUUCUUCGGGAAGAUUCCGUCUCUAGAGAGAAGGGUCCCAGAGCAUGGCCCUCCUACAAAUAGUUUUCAUACAAGGAGACCCCUUUCGGACUGCUGAGUCUUUACUUUUUAGCAGGAAGCUGCAAGCAGAAUUAAGCAGAAUUAAAAUAGUGGUUAUGUGUGGUAUUUUAUAUAGCCAAAUAUUAUCCAGCAAUGGCUACAAGAUCCUUCUAUAAUGUUUACUCACAAGUAAGUCCAUAAAUGUUGUUCAGUAAAGAUUUUAUUAAUUAUAAACCUCUUCCUGGCAGAUCACAUCCCUUUUAUUGCUUCCUGUGCCGUGCAGCUGAGAAUGGAGAGGUUAAAAAUAAGUUUGCCCCUCAAUUGCCCCUUAAUAAGUCAGCUUCUGUUUCUUGGUGGGGGUAAGCUGGUUUCUUUUCAUUAUUUUAUUUUAUUAUACCAAAAUAAUAAUCCUAUUCAUGCAGAGCAGACAGGAAUAAAAGGAGCUAGAAACAGUGUCCACAGGGGACAAGUCAUGGGAGCAUUGUCAGGAUUCUCAGGAACACAUGAGUGUACAAACCGCUAGCAUGGAAGGAACUUUAUAUGCAGGCUUUAUACACGUUUAUUCCCAAUGGCAUCCCCUCACCCUCUCCAAAGAAUUCCUGGGAAUUAUAAUUUGGUGAAGGGGAUUUCCUCAGAGAGAUGUCUAGCCUGCUCCUCCCCCCCUCUGCAGAAUUACAGUUCCCUGGGGAGGGAGGAUGGCUGUUUAAACCAGUCUGUUAUAGUCUACACCCUCAGGGUGUCAAACACAUCAGGCUUUCUGAAUGGAAAGGCUUAACAUGUUUGGGUUAUAAUUCUGCCCCAACAAAUGCCAACGACUGAUGGCAGAAGUUGUCACCCAGUGCUCCUGGGAACCCUGGGACCAACCCUGACCAAACUUACCCUGAUCAUGUGGGGUAAGUUUGGUCAGGUUAUAGUCCUGGGGGAUGGGGAGGCUUUUUAAAUUAUUAUUAAGUGGGGAGCCCCUCGGCCUAGGAAACGUGGCCAUUUAAUCAGACUCCAAGAGCUGAAAUGAAUUUGGGGGAUGGAUAUCAUUUGUUAAGCAAAUGCUCCUAACUUAAAUGUAUUUGCAAAAAUCUGAUCCCCCUCCCCGCAGUUAAAUGCCCCCAUCCUGCAAUAUGUUUAAUUUAUGAAUAUUGUGGAUAUAAGAGUUUGGAAAGAGGCAGAAACAAACAGUGUGAAAUUCUGAAUCUGGUUGUGUGAUACUUAAUCCGCAACUAAAUUUUCAAUUAAAAAAGAAAAAAUCACGAAAGCCCAAAACCUGGGACUGGCUGUAUCUAACCCCAGCACAACACCCCUCCAAUGGCUGUUGCUGUGUCUACCUUACUUUAAAAAAAAAAAAAAAGAUUGUGAGCCCUUUGGAUUCCAUCUUAUUUAUUAAUUAUUUUUCUAUGUAUACCACUUUGGAAACUGUUGAAAAGUGGUAUAUAAGUAGUAGUAAGAACAUAGGAAGCUGCCAUAUAGUGAGUCAGACCAUUGGUCUAUCUAGCUCAGUAUUGUCUUCACAGACUGGCAGCAGCUUCUCCAAGGGUGCAGGCAGGCGUCUUUCUCAGCCCUUUCUUGGAGAUGCUGCCAGGGAGGGAACCUUCUGCUCUUCCCAGAGCAGCUCCAUCCCCUGAGGGGAAGAUCUUCCAGUGCUCACACUUCUAAUCUCCCAUUCAUAUGCAACCAGGACAUGUUGCAUAUGAAUGUUUAGCAAUGAAACCAGGGCAUGUACCCAAACUGCUGGCCAGUUCUAAUGAACCAAUAUGUGGACUGCAGUUCGGUUCAAAUUCAAUUUUAAUUCAAACCGAACCACCAGAGACGGUUCUGUGCACACCCCUAGUUUGUGGAGCUGUUUUUUUAUUUUUUUAAGUAUUUUGCAGUUAAAGUAUAAAGUAUUUAAAGUAUUUAGCUUAGCUAAGAGGACAAGUCAGGCCUACUACACAAGACCCACUCUCCUCUCCUUGACCAGCUACUACAAGUAGUACUAGAUUUGAACAGGGUGCCUCCACUUGGCAGGUUUUAAUUUCGGUUCCAGUGGACCAAUAUUUCUUUCUCCUGUUCAGUGAUAUUAGUACACGAGAAUGCCCUGCUUCCUGGUGGGAAGCAAGAGGGGCGGGGGGGGGUCAUUGUGGUGCUUUGCCCCUUGCAUCCAUGAGCGUUGGGCCAAUCUCGUUUCUCACCAUUCACAGGAAGUGUUUAGCCAUGCAAAAUCUGCAUAACAAAUAUGAUGUGUUCUCACAAUCCUUUAAUUCUCACUUUAUUUUAAGUGCGGUCACAUUCCUUCUAGUUUUCGUGAGCAAAACACACAUGUAUGAGAAUGACUAAGUGUUGGUGCCUUGUUAAAUGAGAAGACCUGCUUAACAGCACUAUAAAAGAAAGAACAUAAAAUAUAAGAGAUAUGAGUUUUUGGCAGUAUCCAAAUUGCUAAAUAAAUCCGAGAAAACCAAGAAUUUAAGUCCCCCUUCAGCAACAGAAGUGGCAUAAUUAAGGGGCAAUUAAUCACAAAUCCCCCAUCCCACUGUGUUGAACUGGACACAAUAAAACAUGCUGAACCUGCCAACAGGAAGCUUUUGAUUAAAGGCACAGUAGUCCCAAAAAACUGUCCAGAACAAGCUGAAAUUGGGUUUGCAAUUUAUUGCAAAACACAUAGACAAAACAAAAUAAUCACAAUUAAGGUCUGAGCAAAUGCUGGAGGGCAACCCAGAAAACACGGGAAUGUAGCAAUUUAGCAAUGACUGUGUCAGGAUGCUGCAUAAAAAUUGAGUGAACAGGAGAUGGAAAUUCCAGAGGGAAAAGGAAGCACAGCAAUGCAGAUAGCUACAGAAAUGUUAAGAGGGGCCUUAACUUGGAGUGACCCAUAGAAAACAUGCCAGCUGUUGACCCACAGUCAAAUUCUUGCAGAGACCCAUUGGCCAGGGGUGGGAAGAUGGAACUUUGAAUUCAAUGUGCUUUGCACAGGCCUAACAAAAACAUCAACAUUGGAAUAUUCACAGUGUGGGGGGCUGGUGCGAUGUGACUGUGUCACUCACAGCCAUGAGCAACUUGAAAAAUGAUUUCAGUGUCUCCCACUUCAAUCCAAUGGAUGCUUACUUGGGAGGAAGUAAGUUAGUGGGGUUUACACCUGAGAAAACACCCAUGGGCAGUGCUGUGGAGAGGAUGGCCAACUUGUAGCAGCCCACCAAGAGAACAAAGGUUCAGACCUGGGUCUCCUCCAUCCACGGCUUAUCCACACUGGUGUGAAGGGUUUAAGGCAGGGCUGCUCAACUUUGGCUCUCCUACAGAUGUUGGCCUACAACUCCCAUAAUCCCUGUUUAUUGGCCACCGUGCCUGGGGAUUAUGGGAGUUGUAGUCCAAAAACAGCGGGGGGGCCUGUGUUGAACAGGCCUGAUUUAGGGUCUGUUUCAAUCCCUACUAGAGUUUAUGACAAACUGGAGAGCACGGCUGCCAGGGAAGUGGGAUGUGGGGGGACAGAGAGGCAAGGCCCCAUCAUUGUUCUGCCACAGAGGAGGGCGAGGGCGAGCUGGUGGGGCUGCGUCCCUCCCCAGAGGCAUCUGCAACGCCUUGCAUCAAAACGAGACAGAGGGCAUGUGUGGGUCAGCAUUGAUCUGGCCUCCCAUGCAUAUUCAUGGCUGCUGCUGGUGCCCAAAUGCUGACUCCAGGAAAAGGGGAUGGUGUCGGAUCAGGCUUUGAUCCCUGCUUAAAAAUCAAUGUGGAAGGAGAAUAGAUGAUGAACAAGACCCAUUUCCCAUCAAUAGAACCUUUGGCCCGAGGAAGGGCACUCCGCCCACUGAAGAGAGAGCAGUGGACAGGGUCCAACCCGCUGGGAUCCCAAACAGGGAUCUUUGGAGAGAGGGUCCCCCACCCCCAUGAUUUUGCCUUGCCUGGGGUCUGCUAGAAGAUUGGGACGGGGAGGAGAGAAGUCCUUGGCGAGCAGUCCUUGCCUGACCCAAUCCCAAGAUGCAGCUACUUCUAGGGUGGAGAGAGUGACGGAGCCGGCAGGGGCUGGGGAGUUCGGGGACUGCGUGGCCCCCAGAAGCGCCAGUAUGCCCUGCGCGAGCGUGCAGGGCAUACUGGAGAGACCCCCGAGCUGGGAGGCUGAAAAGCAGCCUCCCGCUGGGGGUCUACUCAUGAGUAGCCGCGGCACAGAGCCACAGCACGGCUACUCAUGAUCCCCAAAAACGGGUUUGCGGAGCGCUCGCUCAGCGAACCCGGUUUAAGGAGCGGGCUACUUGAGCGGGUUACCUGCUCAGGCGCCACCCGACUUGCAGCCAAGCCCGGUGGUUCCCAUGGUGGGACGAAAUUGGGCUAGCGGAGGCUAGCCUGAUUUCGUCCCAUCAUGUGAAUAGCCUCUAAGUAUUGUGGUAGUGAGCAUGAACGGGGCCCUUUGCUAAGCAGGGAAUACCUUGGUUUGCAUUUGGAUGGGUUACAUGUGAGCACCGUAAGAUCUUCCCCUUAGGGGAUGGGCCCGUAGCUCUUGCUUUGCCUGCAGAAGGUCCCAGGUUCACGCCCUGGUAGCAUCUCCAAGAGAGGGCUGGGAGAGAGACUCCUGCCUGCACCCUUGGAGAAGCUGCUGCGGGUCUGGGUAGACAAUACUAAGCGAGAUGGACCAAGGGCCUGACUCAAUCGAAAGCCACUCCUGUGGCCCUAGGAAUGGCAGGAGAUGAGGAAUGGGUGUAUCUCUUGCUGGUGGGCUUCCUUCCCAAAUGCAUCGGGUGGGGAACAGGGUGCCAGACUCGAGAGGCCUUGGUGUUGCAGAGAGGGGCCCCCAGGUGCUGCCCCCUCCAGUCAGAGUGUGAACCGGCCACCCCUCCACCAGCCCGUGCUGCCCCCAUGCCAACCCCCCACCCGAAAACACCACCAUCCCUGCUUGCUCUCCCCCUCUCCCUCUGCUUGACAGCCUUUGCCAAGAGCUCCUUUUCUCUGGCUCAGCACUGCCCCACUUCUUCUGGCCCGGAGGCUCCAGCAAGACAGGCGGGGUGUGUGUGUGUGUGUGUGUGUGUGUGUGUGUGUGUGUGUAAUUAGCAGCUGCUUCUCACAUCUUGGCUGCUGUCACCCAUCUGCGCAGAUGAUGUCCCCCUCCCUCUCCCCCCUCCCUGGCCCCACCCAAUAUUCCUGCCCCCUCACACCUCCUAACGCUCCUCCUGUGUGGGGCAGCACUUGCUAAUUGGUCAGGUGGCGGCUAUGGCUAUUUCUGCUCUGGGUGCAGAAACCACCCGCCCGCCCCAGAUCACAGGGGAGAAAGCGCCCCGAGAGAGAGUGGGCAUUAAAGCACCCCCACUGGAUGGCUCUAGAGAGCAAGAGAGUGGGUGGGUGAGGGGCCAGGGCUCUGCCCCAAGGAGCUGACACUCUACAAUUGACACAGAGGAGAUAGCAGCGAGAGGAAAGGGAGGCGGAGACCAGGAUAAACGGGGGAAGAACAGAUCAUUUCACUCACCCAUCCGAGUUAGAAGUCAUGAGGACUAGGGGAUUGAGUCAUUCUGAAAUCAUUUUUCGAGCCUUCAGGGAAAAAGAAACCAUUGAGGAAGGGCUUGAAGGAGGAGAGGAGGUGUUCUGGGAGGGAGUUCCAGGGCUAAAGGGAAGCAGGAGAGGAAGGGGGCACUGUCUGAAAGACCAGGAGGCCUUCAGGGCAGGGCUGGCCCGUCUAUCAGGUGGUCCAGGGCACCAGUUUGGGGAGGAGGGCUCAGAAGUAGGGCCAGAAUAUAGCACUGCUGCCUGCUGUUCUUUCCCUCCCUCUUGAAUUGCACCCCGAAGUACUGCCCAGUGGGGUAAGAAUGUCAGAGGCAAGCCUGCACCCCGCUCCCCCAAGGGCCUGCGCAGUCUGCACCCCCAAAGACCACAGGCCAGCCCCCAAUAGUCUCAUCAGCUGCAUUCCCCCUCUUGAAGGUGAACGGCCUCUCUCUCGUUUCGGCAUUCAUUUCCGAAAAGAAAUGGCCUCCGACUGGAUUCCCAGAUUCACAGCUGCAUCUUUUCAUCUCUGAUGUGUUAGAGUUUUGCCCCCAUCAUAGUCUGGGGAACUCUCUCCCACUGGAUCCUCAAACCAGCACAAGCUAGUCAUUUGCAGGUCAUCCUCACUGGCUGGUCACUUCUCAGCUGGGAGCGCCAAUACCAAACUCCGCCAAGGGCGCCAAAGAGCCGAGGGCCCACCAUGUUUCAGGGCAGUAGCCUUGGAGGGACAAAGGUCACCCCUUUUGCAGGGGAGCAACUGCACAGAAGGGGGCCUGCCUUCAUCUCCUGAUUGUGGGCUUCCAGAGGCAUCUGGUGGGCCACUGGGGGAAGCAGGAGGCUGGACUAGAUGGGCUUCCUUGGGCCUGAUCCAGCAGGGCCGUGCUUAAUGCCUUGCAGCUUCUUGUACAGGUAGAUUGUAAUAGGCCAGAGAAGUUCCAUUUUCAGUUCUGGUUUCUUGAUCCUAAGCAGCAGAUUUCCAGGGCGAAUCUGUCUGCUCAAACAUCACGUGCUGCAGUGAGAGGGUGCAGAUGCUCCUGUGAGUUUUUUCCCUCCUGGUCACACUGCAUCAGGGUUUGUAGUCUUGAGGCUGGGGAAAUGUUUUGCAGUCCCCCUGCAAGUGUGUCUUGCCCCUGGGAACAAAAAUGGUUUGAAGGCAAUCUUGCAACGUUGCAGCAACACAGAGGGCUGAGCUCAUGCAAAUAACGGCAGCCAGGCAGAAAAGGGCUACAAUAUGGAGUGUGCAGCUGGGGUUGGCCUGAGAUGAUGAACAUCGUUUCAUGAAAACGCAGAUAUGGGGACAAUGCAUCACAGUUGUGUGUGCAGGUAUGACUCAGGAACAGAUCUGCUAAAAGCACUGGGCCGUUCACACAGGUGUGUAUACCAGGAGUUCUCAAUUGUGGGUCCCAGAUGUUGUAGGACUACAACUCCCAUCAUCCCCAGCCACAAUGCCUUAAAACAGACGGUGAUGGACAUUGUAGUACAGCAAUGUCUGGGGACCCAAAUCACAGUAACAUCACAGGACAGUUAGUCACGCAAUGCUUCAACACUGGAUGACCUGGAAGUGGAUAGGUCAACACACUCGACUGGAAAUCGCGGUGAGUUGAGCCACGUGAUAGGAAGUUUUGCCUGGGGUUUUGUGACUGGUGAUGAUGGCUCCUACACACACGUCAACAUAAUGCUGCAGCUAUGCCUGUGUGAAUAGGCCACAAUAGACUUUUGGGACGGCUGUCAAAGUUUUUGGAUGAGGAUUUAGGAGCAAGAGGACUGGAGUAUUUGACCCAACUUCUACAUCCGUGUUGGAAGGAAUGGCAAGGAAGCAGAUUGAGGCUAGACACUAGGAGGAUUUCCUGAGAGCAAGAGCUGUCGGGACAGUGGAACAGCCUGCCUCAUGAAGCAGUGGGCUCUCCUCCCCAGGGUGCUUUCCAGAUUACACCCUAUGAGAGUGUCACUACGUGUCCGCUAAGUGUGCUUCCGUAGUGCCUGUGUUUUGACAUCACGGUCCCUGCACUAUCAGCAAGGAGCCCUUCACAUUUCCGAUGCCUUCUUUCAGAUUGUAUCCUUGCGUUUGUCGUACAACGUUGCAUGUGCGUUGCAAAAAUAAAAGCUGUAUUUUCCCAUUGUAGGAGGGUUGUGCAAACUAUUUUACGUUUUCAAAACAAUCCUCCUGACAAGCCGAAGCAUUUUACUGCUGAACAGCGAAUAACCUGGAAAGCACCCUAGAGGUUUUCAUGGUGGAGAUGGAAUUCCAGUGCCUCAACCUUUUGCACCAACUAUCCUAAUGUCCACUAGGGGCAUUGGGAGUAGAGGUAGUGAGUGAGGGUCUCCUUACCUGUCCCUGCUUGCCUCUGCUCUAUGACCCCUGCCUUGACUCCUCAAGCACUUCCUGUAGGGAGCCAGGCCUAUUCCUUUCCUCCGGAAGGUGGGAACAUCUCUCUCUCUCUCUCCCUACCUGUCCAUUAUGUAGCUGAUAGAUAGGAUAGGUCUUUCCUAUCUCAAAUGUACUUCACCAAUAAACCUAUUUAGUUUCAACUCUA